This 2544-nucleotide unclassified non-coding RNA is filed under the name Hevea brasiliensis (rubber tree). The record is from RNAcentral. Lineage: Eukaryota; Viridiplantae; Streptophyta; Magnoliopsida; Malpighiales; Euphorbiaceae.
AUGAAAAACAUAUCCAAAAUUCAAGCCAAAAAAAUGAACAGUAUGUAUACAUAUGUACUAUCUAUAACUGAGAAAAAUGAGAUAAGAGCAUGUUUGCUAUAAGACCUCGAUUCUUUAUUCCUAGUCAUGAAAACUGAGCCAAAAUGCAUAUAUUUUCUUCCGCCAACAACUAACACAAUUCAUUCUAAAUUCAUAAUGCAUUUGCACAAAGAGUUGAUAUAUAUUAUAGGGGCCACACCAUCCUGAGUCUGAGCAUAAUCACUGUAGCAGAUAAUGAUUCCAAGUGUAAGUGAUCUGGAUCUGAACCCCAUAUGAAAGUUUGGCAGCUUUAAGUAUUCAAGCACCCAGAUAUCCCAUCAGCGUGUUUUCCUUUGCAGGACAAUGAUGGAGUAGUUGGAAGGGGUGGAAUAAUGCACUCCGUCCUAUCAUUGUAUCAGCCAGGAACUUGGAGAAAACCAGGAAACACAAUUCUGUGAUGCCACAGUUUCUCAUGGUUGAUAAAAAUAAGUUUCAUAAUGGAUUUGCCAAAAUGGGAACCCGAGAGUUGAAAUUCAUGGAGUAGCUGCUGAUCCCUGCCAUUUCCCCAUGCAUGUUCACAUGCUCUCAACUUAUAAGAGAAGCAUUGGCCGUCAUACACCAUGAUUAACCUGAAAUUACACGAUUUCUGUUGACAUCAACAGGGGAUGCUUGUGGUCCAAAAUAGAUGGUCAACAUGCCAAACCCCCAGCAAAAAGGAGGUCACAUAUCUUUUCUUCCAUAGGAACACUAUUCCAACUAUAACCAUCAGCCAUCAGACGACUCUUUUCCUUUCUAUAAGUUUCUGUUUCACAAAUGCUACCACUUCUUUCUAAACCAGAUAAUAGAACAUUAUAUGUACCUAAAGAAGAAUUGAUCCCUUUCUUUUUCAUGGUUUUAUAGAUUUUAAGUGCUUUUUCUGUACUACCAGCUGAGAAGUAUACACCAACCAUAGCAGUAUAAGUAGCAGUGCACUUCUGUUCAUCAGGCAGUAAAUUAAAAAUCUUUGCAGCACAAGUGGGCCUUCUAGCAGACCCAAGCCUAUAAAUUAAGAGACAACCUAGAUACAGUCCAAGAGAAUGCCCAGCCCUAAUCAUUUCCUUGAUAAUAUCCACAAUCCUCAAGAAUGUAUUUGAUCUUAUCAAAAUGCCAAUCAGGGCAAGAUAUGCUGUUUUUUCAAGGUCUAUGCCCAUUCUCAUACUGUAUUCAAAGGCUAAUAAAGCACUAUCAGGUCUGCAUUGCCUGCAGUUUACCUCAAUAAUAGUCGAGACAAUCCAAGAAUCCAAAAGAAUACUCUUAUCAAUAACCCCAGCAAGUAAAUGGUCAACAGCCACAAGAUUUUGCUUUUUCAAAAGAAUCAGUAAAAGUCCUCUGUCCAAAGGAUCAUCAUCAGCACUUGUAAUGAUCACAGGCGCAUCCUCAUUAUUGAUAGAUUCAGUAGCAAAAUGAGGAUUAACUUGCCUGAGGAGGGUAUCACUCUCACCGGAAAUUCUUAGAGUUUUGAGUGCUUCCUGAAAGAUAGAGUAACGAAGAGAAAGAUGAUUGUUUUUCAUAUAUUGAAGAAUUUGGGCCAUUGUGUUUGUUUCACCACCUUUGCAACAUCUCUCAACCAAAAUAUUGCAUACAGCUUUGUCAGGUUGUACCCCUGCUUCUUGCAUUUUGCUGAAAAUCUCAAGUGCUUCUUGGUACUUGCCAGCAAGGACAAGGUACUCCAUUAGGACAGUAUACGUGUGGCAAUUUGGAGCAAUCCCAGAUUCAAGCAUCUCCUUAUAAACAUCAGUUGCCUCCUUCACUCUCUUAUUAUCAAAGAGAACCUUCAUAUAAGCCGUAUAAGAAACAACUGUAGGAUAACACCCAUUUUCCUUCAUUUCUUUCCAAAUCUUUACAGCUCCAUCAACAUCCCCAGAGCUCGAAACCCAGUGCAUAAGCGAAGUGUAAGUAACCGCAUCGAUCUUUAUCCCCUUCUCUUGCAUUUGCUUAAACACAUAAUUCAUAGACGCAAUCCUGCCAGCUUCUCCAAAGAUGUCCAGCAUUGUUGUGUAGGUAAACUGGUCGUGCUUAAACCCUUUAAGCCCCGAAGCCCAGUUGAAAAAAAGCCACGCCUUCUCCAUUGGUGGGUGAGUUUUUAACACUUGAUUGACAGUGUAAGAGUCCCAUUGUAUACCCAGUUUCGAUAGGUGUUCUUUUGCAGUGUCCCAAGUGGAGUAUUUCAAGAUUCUAUAUAUGUUUGAAAUGGUGUUUCUCAUGUAAACCUUUGGGUCCUCUACACCUUUCUUGCAUAUUGAUUUGGCUGUUUUUCUUGAAAUUUUGGUGAACUGCUUGAUGGGUUCUCUGGGUUUGGAUUGGUGAAAGGAAUGAAAACAUUUCAUGAAACUGCUGGAGUAAUGAAAAGGCCACUCACUAUAAAUAGAUUUGAUGAGAAAUCUAUUGAUGCCACUAAAAUACACCAUGUUAAGACUAUUUAACGAUCACAACUCUUGAUAGGCAAUUCCGCCAUCCGGAACUUCCAUAAUCAGGCCAAUAAGAAGA